AUUGAACGCUGGCGGCAUGCCUUACACAUGCAAGUCGAACGGUAACAGGUCUUCGGAUGCUGACGAGUGGCGAACGGGUGAGUAAUACAUCGGAACGUGCCCAGACGUGGGGGAUAACGAGGCGAAAGCUUUGCUAAUACCGCAUACGAUCUAAGGAUGAAAGCAGGGGACCGCAAGGCCUUGCGCGUUUGGAGCGGCCGAUGGCAGAUUAGGUAGUUGGUGGGAUAAAAGCUUACCAAGCCGACGAUCUGUAGCUGGUCUGAGAGGACGACCAGCCACACUGGGACUGAGACACAGCCCAGACUCCUACGGGAGGCAGCAGUGGGGAAUUUUGGACAAUGGGCGAAAGCCUGAUCCAGCAAUGCCGCGUGCAGGAUGAAGGCCUUCGGGUUGUAAACUGCUUUUGUACGGAACGAAAAGGCUCUGGCUAAUACCUGGGGCACAUGACGGUACCGGAAGAAUAAGCACCGGCUAACUACGUG
This 482-nucleotide ribosomal RNA is filed under the name uncultured bacterium. RNAcentral's name for it is "partial 16S ribosomal RNA". It matches the Rfam family "Bacterial small subunit ribosomal RNA", at positions 30 to 507 of the family's 1533-position model. The record is from RNAcentral.